This 254-nucleotide unclassified non-coding RNA is filed under the name Hevea brasiliensis (rubber tree). Lineage: Eukaryota; Viridiplantae; Streptophyta; Magnoliopsida; Malpighiales; Euphorbiaceae. The record is from RNAcentral.
UGGAUGUAUGUCAACAAAAUAUUUUACAAAGCGAGCAUCUGAACAAGCAAGAAGAGUGCUCACUGAUAAUGUUGGUUUUGCAGCACCCUUUUGCUUCAGCCAUGCAUACAUUGAAAACCGAAGAUGAAUUCUGUCCACGUCAUAGCAGAGGUAAGAUGGAAAUGAUACAAUCGAUUCCACCGGAUAACCUAAAUAUGUUUUCAGUAGAACAAUUUUCUUCUCAAGAACAUCUUUGCUCUGGUUCAAUGCCGCAG